UACAGAGGUCUCAAGCGUUGUUCGGAUUCAUUGGGCGUAAAGGGUGCGUAGGCGGUGGGGCAAGUCAGGUGUGAAAUCCCGGAGCUCAACUCCGGAACUGCACUUGAUACUGCCUUGCUAGAGUACUGGAGAGGAGACUGGAAUUCCUGGUGUAGCGGUGAAAUGCGCAGAUAUCAGGAAGAACACCCGUGGCGAAGGCGGCUCUCUGGGACGGUACUGACGCUGAGACGCGAAAGCGUGGGGAGCGAACAGG
RNAcentral lists this ribosomal RNA (253 nucleotides) under uncultured bacterium. Its description in RNAcentral is "partial 16S ribosomal RNA". It matches the Rfam family "Bacterial small subunit ribosomal RNA", at positions 524 to 776 of the family's 1533-position model. The record is from RNAcentral.